CAGCAGCCGCCACGGGAAUACAGAGGGUGCGAGCGUUAAUCGGAUUUACUGGGCGUAAAGCGUGCGUAGGCGGCUUUUUAAGUCGGAUGUGAAAUCCCUGAGCUUAACUUAGGAAUUGCAUUCGAUACUGGGAAGCUAGAGUAUGGGAGAGGAUGGUAGAAUUCCAGGUGUAGCGGUGAAAUGCGUAGAGAUCUGGAGGAAUACCGAUGGCGAAGGCAGCCAUCUGGCCUAAUACUGACGCUGAGGUACGAAAGCAUGGGGAGCAAACAGGAUUAGAUACCCGCGUAGUCCCUGUCUCUUAUAC
This 304-nucleotide ribosomal RNA is filed under the name uncultured bacterium. Its description in RNAcentral is "partial 16S ribosomal RNA". It matches the Rfam family "Bacterial small subunit ribosomal RNA", at positions 509 to 807 of the family's 1533-position model. The record is from RNAcentral.